RNAcentral lists this signal recognition particle RNA (99 nucleotides) under Gemmatimonadota bacterium. RNAcentral's name for it is "signal recognition particle sRNA small type". It matches the Rfam family "Bacterial small signal recognition particle RNA". From Rfam's summary of the family: The signal recognition particle (SRP) is a universally conserved ribonucleoprotein involved in the co-translational targeting of proteins to membranes. Archaeal SRP consists of a 7S RNA and homologues of the eukaryotic SRP19 and SRP54 proteins. The record is from RNAcentral. Lineage: Bacteria; Pseudomonadati; Gemmatimonadota.
GCCCCAGGUCCGCAGGGCGUGAGCUCAUGAACUCCGUCAGGACCCCGCAGGUAGCAGCGGUAAGUGUGGUAAUCGUUGCUGCGGUUCGCCUGGGGCACU